This 273-nucleotide ribosomal RNA is filed under the name uncultured prokaryote. RNAcentral describes it as "partial 16S ribosomal RNA". It matches the Rfam family "Bacterial small subunit ribosomal RNA", at positions 524 to 796 of the family's 1533-position model. The record is from RNAcentral.
UACGGGGGGAGCAAGCGUUGUCCGGAAUCAUUGGGCGUAAAGGGCGUGUAGGCGGUUUGGCAAGUCGAAUGUGAAAUCCCACGGCUCAACCGUGGAACUGCGUUCGAAACUGCCUUGCUUGAGUGCGGGAGAGGUGUGCGGAAUUCCUGGUGUAGCGGUGGAAUGCGUAGAUAUCAGGAAGAACACCGGUGGCGAAGGCGGCACACUGGCCCAGCACUGACGCUGAGGCGCGAAAGCGUGGGGAGCGAACGGGAUUAGAAACCCCAGUAGUCC